CGCGGGGUGGAGCAACGGUAGCUCGCCUGGCUCAUUUACCAGGAGUGUGGGGGUUCGAAUCCCUCUCCCGCAA
Molecule: transfer RNA, 73 nt
Filed under: Mucilaginibacter polytrichastri
Lineage: Bacteria; Pseudomonadati; Bacteroidota; Sphingobacteriia; Sphingobacteriales; Sphingobacteriaceae
Description: tRNA-Met
Rfam family: tRNA
About the family: Transfer RNA (tRNA) molecules are approximately 80 nucleotides in length.
Source: RNAcentral